This 433-nucleotide ribosomal RNA is filed under the name uncultured bacterium. RNAcentral's name for it is "partial 16S ribosomal RNA". It matches the Rfam family "Bacterial small subunit ribosomal RNA", at positions 29 to 507 of the family's 1533-position model. The record is from RNAcentral.
AACGAACGCUGGCGGCAUGCCUAACACAUGCAAGUCGAACGAGACCUUCGGGUUUAGUGGCGCACGGGUGCGUAACGCGUGGGAAGCUGCCCUUAGGUUCGGAAUCCCUCCCCGAAAGGUGUCUUAAUACCGGAUAAUGUCUUCGGACCAAAGAUGUAUUGCCUUUGGAUGGGCCCGCGUUGGUUUCGCGAGUUGGUAGGGUAGAAGCCUACCAAGGCGAGGAUGCAUGGCUGGUCUGGGAGGAUGAUCAGCCAGACUGGGGAUGAGACACGGCCCAGACUCCUACGGGAGGGAGCAGUGGGGAAUAUUGGACGAUGGGCGAAAGCCUAAUCCAGCAAUGCCGGGUGAGUGAGGAAGGCCUUAGGGAUGUAAAGCUCUUUUAGCCGAGAUGAUAAUGACGGUACCGGGUAAAUAAGCACCGGCUAACUACGUG